Molecule: long non-coding RNA, 250 nt
Filed under: Homo sapiens (human)
Lineage: Eukaryota; Metazoa; Chordata; Mammalia; Primates; Hominidae
Description: non-protein coding lnc-CYLD-11:1
Source: RNAcentral
GAAAUUGGUAACUAGAGGGUAAAAUGAAGGAGCUUGGUGAGAGUUUUUAUAAGCAGUGAAAAUUCUGCCAAACUAUUCCCAUGACUUUUGAUAUCCAGCAUGGUAUAACCCUGGCUCUGUAUCAAGUUUUCAAUUCUGAUAUUGCAGUUUUGAAAGUAGUUUAUAGAAACAUAAGAACUCAUUAAAAACUCAUUCAAUGAUCCACUUUGUAGCCUUGUGACUAAUCCAGAAAGUAGAGUCUGUGUCUCUU